UCCUACGGGAGGCAGCAGUGAGGAAUUUUGCGCAAUGGGGGAAACCCUGACGCAGCAACGCCGCGUGAGUGAUGGAGGCUUUCGGGUCGUAAAGCUCUGUCAAGUGGGAAGAACCUGCCUGAUGCGAAUACCAUCAGGCACUGACGGUACCACUGAAGGAAGCACCGGCUAACUCCGUGCCAGCAGCCGCGGUAAUAC
This 198-nucleotide ribosomal RNA is filed under the name uncultured bacterium. RNAcentral describes it as "partial 16S ribosomal RNA". It matches the Rfam family "Bacterial small subunit ribosomal RNA", at positions 337 to 526 of the family's 1533-position model. The record is from RNAcentral.